ACACUUUGCAAAUCGUAAAAGACAAUAUUGUCCAGUCAUUAAUUAAAACAAGGACUUGCUACAUUUCAGGUAUGCAAAAUGUUUCACGGACAGAUGGAAGAUAUACUCACCAGAAUGAAAAGGGAAUGUCAAGGAAAUGAUGAAAACUGCUGUGAUCCAUGAUCUUCCCUCAGCAUGAAGUUCUGGACAAGUUCAUCUCAGCUGAUGCAUUUAGCAAUCCGGGUCAUCAGAAACAUGGUUUUUAUUAUCAUUUGGUGAAGCUUUCUCUAUUUCUGUUGAAGAGUUGCUAUUCAACCUGGGAUUCUUACCUCUUGACUCUACAGAACCAGCACAUAUUGUCGGAUAAAAGAGGUUUCUGCAAACAACACACAGGUGAAGAAUUAAAAAUAAGAAGAAAAUGGAGACAGUAGCAUACACUUUGUUGGGAAUUUCCUACAUUUCUUCGUAGCAGAAGCCUAUGUGAAUUGUGUGCUGAUACGAAC
Molecule: long non-coding RNA, 482 nt
Organism: Ochotona curzoniae (black-lipped pika)
Lineage: Eukaryota; Metazoa; Chordata; Mammalia; Lagomorpha; Ochotonidae
Exons: 4
Source: RefSeq, a predicted model, not a curated record